RNAcentral lists this ribosomal RNA (443 nucleotides) under uncultured bacterium. RNAcentral's name for it is "bacterial SSU rRNA". It matches the Rfam family "Bacterial small subunit ribosomal RNA", at positions 86 to 518 of the family's 1533-position model. The record is from RNAcentral.
UAACCUAGAGCGGCGGACUGGUGAGUAACGCGUGGGUGAGACCCUUUUGACGGGGAUAGCCUGUGGAAACACUGGGUAAUACCGGAUAAGCUGGCUUGUGUCAGAGGCAAGUCAGGAAAGGUUCUUUUGAACCGCGAAAGGAGCGGCCCGCGUGCUAUUAGUUAGUUGGCGGGUAACGGCCCACCAAGACGACGAUAGCUACCCGGCCUAAGAGGGUGAACGGGCACAUUGGGACUGAGAUACGGCCCAGACUCCUACGGGAGGCAGCAGCUAAGAAUAUUCCGCAAUGGACGAAAGUCUGACGGAACGACGCCGCGUGGAUUGAUGAAGGCCGGAAGGUUGUAAAAUCCUUUUGGGAGCGAGGAAUAAGGAAUCUGAGAGAAACGGAUUCUGGUGACGGUAGCUUCUGAAUAAGCAACGGCUAAUUACGUGCCAGCCGCCGC